Molecule: ribosomal RNA, 607 nt
Filed under: Priestia megaterium
Lineage: Bacteria; Bacillati; Bacillota; Bacilli; Caryophanales; Bacillaceae
Description: bacterial SSU rRNA
Rfam family: Bacterial small subunit ribosomal RNA
Source: RNAcentral
UGCAAGUCGAGCGAACUGAUUAGAAGCUUGCUUCUAUGACGUUAGCGGCGGACGGGUGAGUAACACGUGGGCAACCUGCCUGUAAGACUGGGAUAACUUCGGGAAACCGAAGCUAAUACCGGAUAGGAUCUUCUCCUUCAUGGGAGAUGAUUGAAAGAUGGUUUCGGCUAUCACUUACAGAUGGGCCCGCGGUGCAUUAGCUAGUUGGUGAGGUAACGGCUCACCAAGGCAACGAUGCAUAGCCGACCUGAGAGGGUGAUCGGCCACACUGGGACUGAGACACGGCCCAGACUCCUACGGGAGGCAGCAGUAGGGAAUCUUCCGCAAUGGACGAAAGUCUGACGGAGCAACGCCGCGUGAGUGAUGAAGGCUUUCGGGUCGUAAAACUCUGUUGUUAGGGAAGAACAAGUACAAGAGUAACUGCUUGUACCUUGACGGUACCUAACCAGAAAGCCACGGCUAACUACGUGCCAGCAGCCGCGGUAAUACGUAGGUGGCAAGCGUUAUCCGGAAUUAUUGGGCGUAAAGCGCGCGCACGCGGUUUCUUAAUUCUGAUGUGAAAGCCCACGGCUCAACCGUGGAGGGUCAUUGUUAACUGGGGAACUUG